GGACAAUGGGGGCAACCCUGAUCCAGCCAUGCCGCGUGAGUGAUGACGGCCUUAGGGUUGUAAAGCACUUUCAGCAGUGAAGAUAAUGACAUUAACUGCAGAAGAAGCCCCGGCUAACUUCGUGCCAGCAGCCGCGGUAAUACGAAGGGGGCUAGCGUUGUUCGGAAUCACUGGGCGUAAAGAGUACGUAGGCGGACUGAUCAGUCAGGGGUGAAAUCCCAGGGCUCAACCCCGGAACUGCCUUUGAUACUGUCAGUCUUGAGAUCGAGAGAGGUGAGUGGAACUCCGAGUGUAGAGGUGAAAUUCGUAGAUAUUCGGAAGAACACCAGUGGCGAAGGCGGCUCACUGGCUCGAUACUGACGCUGAGGUACGAAAGCGUGGGGAGCAAACAGGAUUAGAUACCCUGGUAGUCCACGCCGUAAAC
This 424-nucleotide ribosomal RNA is filed under the name uncultured bacterium. RNAcentral describes it as "bacterial SSU rRNA". It matches the Rfam family "Bacterial small subunit ribosomal RNA", at positions 366 to 807 of the family's 1533-position model. The record is from RNAcentral.